AAGACUAUAGACCUGCGGAGUACCUGCGGAGGGAUCAUUAACAAAUCAGCAUAGGGCCGCGAGGCCCUAUAUACACCCCAAGCCUGUGAAGGGUAUUGCCUGGACCGGCUUUGGUUGCAGCCUUCGGGCUGCAGGUUCGAUUAUCGUAAGAUGGUCAAACCACAUAGACGCUUGUAUUGUUUGACAGAGUUUAGUUGCCUUUAAAAGAUACAACUUUCAACAAUGGAUCUCUAGAUCGGA
This 240-nucleotide unclassified non-coding RNA is filed under the name soil metagenome. RNAcentral's name for it is "partial contains 5.8S ribosomal RNA, internal transcribed spacer 2, and large subunit ribosomal RNA". The record is from RNAcentral.